AACUGCGAGUGAAGCGGGAAAAGCUCAAAUUUAAAAUCUGGCGGUCCUUGGCCGUCCGAGUUGUAAUUUAGAGAAGCGUCUUCCGCGCCGGACCGUGCACAAGUCUCCUGGAAUGGAGCGUCGUAGAGGGUGAGAAUCCCGUCUUUGGCACGGAUGACCGGUGCUUCUGUGAUGCGCUCUCAAAGAGUCGAGUUGUUUGGGAAUGCAGCUCAAAAUGGGUGGUGAACUCCAUCUAAAGCUAAAUAUUGGCGAGAGACCGAUAGCGAACAAGUACCGUGAGGGAAAGAUGAAAAGCACUUUGGAAAGAGAGUGAAACAGUACGUGAAAUUGUUGAAAGGGAAACGCUUGAAGUCAGUCGCGUCGACCGAGACUCAGCCUCGCCUUGGCUUGGUGUACUUCUCGGCACGACGGGUCAGCGUCGAUUUCGUCUCUCGGAAAAUGGCAAGGGAAAGGUGGCACCUUUGCGGGUGUGUUAUAGUCUCCUGUCGCAUGUGAGGGGUGAGAUCGAGGAACUCAGCACGCACCUUUGGUGUCGGGGCUUCG
This 543-nucleotide ribosomal RNA is filed under the name Lactarius fulvescens. RNAcentral's name for it is "LSU rRNA". It matches the Rfam family "Eukaryotic large subunit ribosomal RNA", at positions 85 to 630 of the family's 3401-position model. The record is from RNAcentral. Lineage: Eukaryota; Fungi; Basidiomycota; Agaricomycetes; Russulales; Russulaceae.